This 1962-nucleotide unclassified non-coding RNA is filed under the name Hevea brasiliensis (rubber tree). The record is from RNAcentral. Lineage: Eukaryota; Viridiplantae; Streptophyta; Magnoliopsida; Malpighiales; Euphorbiaceae.
AAAAAAACCAGGCUUCAGAUGAGAUUUUCCCUACUGGUUCCCAGUCUGAAAUUUUAAAUGAAACUGAUGCUCAAAAUGGUGCUUGGUCGACUCAAGCGGUAGAGUCACAGAAUGAAAAGCAAUCACAACAAUCUACAAUUUCUAAGGACCGAUUUGCUCAUACCUGGAAGCUCUGUAAUGCCACUGCUGGUCCAGACUACAUUCCUUGCCUUGACAAUUGGCAAAUUAUCAGAAGGCUUCCAAGCACAAAGCAUUAUGAACAUCGUGAGAGGCACUGCCCUGAAGAAGCUCCCACAUGUCUGGUUCCUAUACCUGAGGGAUAUAGACGUUCAGUUAAGUGGCCUAAAAGCAGGGAAAAGAUAUGGUACUAUAAUGUUCCCCAUACCAAGCUUGCAGAGGUUAAGGGGCACCAGAAUUGGGUUAAGGUUACUGGUGAAUAUCUUACUUUUCCUGGUGGUGGAACUCAGUUUAAGCAUGGUGCUCUUCAUUACAUUGAUUUCAUAGAGGAAUCUCUUCCUGAUAUUGCUUGGGGGAAAAGAAGCCGUGUGAUAUUGGAUGUUGGGUGUGGGGUGGCAAGCUUUGGAGGUUAUCUUUUUGAAAGAGAUGUUCUUGCAAUGUCGUUUGCACCCAAGGAUGAGCAUGAAGCCCAAGUGCAGUUUGCACUUGAGCGGGGAAUCCCUGCCAUGUUGGCUGUUAUGGGCACCAAGAGACUACCAUUUCCCAGUUCUGUUUUUGAUAUCGUCCACUGUGCACGCUGUAGGGUCCCUUGGCAUAUUGAAGGAGGUAAAUUUCUUUUAGAGCUCAAUCGUGUGUUGCGACCUGGUGGUUACUUUGUCUGGUCUGCCACUCCUGUUUAUCAAAAACUUCCAGAAGAUGUUGGCAUUUGGAAAGCAAUGUCUGAACUCACAAAGUCAAUGUGCUGGGAUCUCAUGGUGAUUAAAAAGGACAAACUAAAUGGUGUUGGUGCAGCAAUAUUUAGAAAGCCAACAUCCAAUGAAUGUUAUAAUAAGAGAACCCAAAAUGAGCCUCCACUGUGCAAAGAAUCUGAUGAUCCAAAUGCAGCCUGGAAUGUGCCACUUGAGGCAUGCAUGCAUAAAGUGCCUGUUGAUGCAUCAGAGCGUGGAUAUCAAUGGCCUGAGAAAUGGCCACAAAGAUUAGAGAAACCUCCUUACUGGCUGAACUCUCAAGUUGGAGUUUAUGGUAAAGCUGCUCCAGAGGAUUUUGCUGCUGACUACAAGCACUGGAAAAAUGUUGUGUCCCAGUCAUAUUUGAAAGGGAUGGGAAUUGACUGGUCUUCUGUGAGAAAUAUCAUGGACAUGAGAGCUGUAUAUGGAGGGUUUGCUGCGGCGCUCAAGGACUUGAAAGUUUGGGUUAUGAAUGUUGUACCAAUUGAUUCUCCAGACACACUUCCAAUAAUCUAUGAGCGUGGUUUAUUUGGGAUGUAUCAUGAUUGGUGUGAAUCGUUCAAUACUUAUCCUAGAACCUACGAUCUUCUCCAUGCUGAUCACCUAUUCUCCAGUCUCAAGAAGAGGUGUAACUUAGUUCCAGUAAUGGCAGAAGUGGAUAGGAUCUUGAGGCCAGAAGGAAAGCUGAUUGUGCGCGACCAUGUUGAAAUCAUAGGUGAGAUUGAGAGUAUGGCUAAGUCUAUGAACUGGGAAAUUCGAAUGAUUUACUCUAAAGAUAGUGAAGGACUGCUUUGUGUUCGCAAGACAAACUGGCGUCCCACUGAGUCAGAAUUGAUAAAGUCUGCUAUUAUUUGAACAGAGUGUUCCAGUUUUUGUCUUAAUGCUGAGGUUAGAAUAUAAUCUAUACCUCUCUUAAGCAUUUGAUUUUAAGCUUAGUAAUAGUAUUGGUCAAGAUUUUACCGUUCUUUUUUUCUUUUUUUUGGUUAUGCAAUUGUAAAAUUAUAUAGUUGAUUAUUUUAUACAGCACUUAUAUGAUGUUACUGUCCUAAUAUCUUCA